This 444-nucleotide ribosomal RNA is filed under the name uncultured bacterium. Its description in RNAcentral is "SSU rRNA". It matches the Rfam family "Bacterial small subunit ribosomal RNA", at positions 26 to 518 of the family's 1533-position model. The record is from RNAcentral.
AGAGCGAACGCUGGCGGCAGGCCUAACACAUGCAAGUCGAGCGCCGUAGCAAUACGGAGCGGCAGACGGGAGAGUAACACGUGGGAACGUACCUUUCAGUUCGGAACAACCCAGGGAAACUUGGGCUAAAUACCGGAUACGCCCUUACGGGGAAAGAUUUAUCGCUGAAAGAUCGGCCCGCGUCUGAUUAGCUAGUUGGUGGGGUAACGGCCCACCAAGGCUACGAUCAGUAGCUGGUCUGAGAGGAUGAUCAGCCUCACUGGGACUGAGACACGGCCCAGACUCCUACGGGAGGCAGCAGUGGGGAAUAUGGACAAUGGGCGCAAGCCUGAUCCAGCCAUGCCGCGUGGAUGAUGAAGGCCCUAGGGUUGUAAAGUCCUUUCGGCGGGGAAGAUAAUGACGGUACCGCAGAAGAAGCCCGGCUAACUUCGCGCCAGCAGCCGC